This 619-nucleotide ribosomal RNA is filed under the name uncultured bacterium. RNAcentral's name for it is "bacterial SSU rRNA". It matches the Rfam family "Bacterial small subunit ribosomal RNA", at positions 67 to 721 of the family's 1533-position model. The record is from RNAcentral.
CGCGAACGCACCUUCGGGUGUUAUUAGAGUGGCGGACGGGUGAGUAACACGUGGGAACAUGCCUUUCGGUACGGAACAACGCUUGGAAACGAGUGCUAAUACCGUAUACGCCCUUAGGGGGAAAGAUUUAUCGCCGAAAGAUUGGCCCGCGCUAGAUUAGCUAGUUGGUAAGGUAAUGGCUUACCAAGGCGACGAUCUAUAGCUGGUUUGAGAGGAUGAUCAGCCACACUGGGACUGAGACACGGCCCAGACUCCUACGGGAGGCAGCAGUGGGGAAUAUUGGACAAUGGGGGCAACCCUGAUCCAGCGAUGCCGCGUGAGUGAUGAAGGCCUUAGGGUUGUAAAACUCUUUCAGAUGGGAUGAUAAUGACAGUACCAUCAGAAGAAGCUCCGGCUAACUCCGUGCCAGCAGCCGCGGUAAUACGGAGGGAGCUAGCGUUGUUCGGAAUUACUGGGCGUAAAGCGCGCGUAGGCGGCUUUGCAAGUAGGGGGUGAAAUCCCGGGGCUUAACCCCGGAACUGCCCUCUAAACUGCAGAGCUAGAAUCCUGGAGAGGUGAGUGGAAUUCCUAGUGUAGAGGUGAAAUUCGUAGAUAUUAGGAAGAACACCAGUGGCGAAGG